Cyprinus carpio carpio is the source of this 2211-nucleotide long non-coding RNA. The record is from Ensembl. Lineage: Eukaryota; Metazoa; Chordata; Actinopteri; Cypriniformes; Cyprinidae.
GCAGAAUUUUGCAUUGUGAAGGUCAUUAUAUCAAAUCAUGUAAGUCUUUUGUUUAGCCAGGAUCCUAUGCAAAUCUGAGAGAAAAUAAAGCAUUUUGAAAGUCAAAUGUUUCUAAACUAAAAUAAAGCCAAAGAGGUGAUUUUUAGGGAGAAGAAGAGUACUGACCAAGACAUCAGUGCACAGAGAAGUUAAAGCAAGUUAAAGUCAUAAUCAUGCUUGUCUUUCUGCUCCUUGCCUCAAUGUUUUACCAAGGUCUUACAGUUGUGAGCUAUGGAGACAACUUCAUCACUGCCUUUCCAGAGAACCUUGGUUUCUUCUAUCCGUCUGGUACCAUGAACUAUCUAAGAGUCACAGCCCUUUAUGACAGCACUAACUUCACAGUCUUCUACCAAAACAGACAGAUAGUCCAACAUAUUCCGAAGUCAGGACAGACCGUGAGUGUUGUGUUUCCAACGUCUGCUGAAAUAUAUCAACUAGGCUCUUCGCUUUUAUCUGUCAGAAUUACCAGUGACAAAAACAUCACAGUGGUUUCUGUAAGUAAUCGGGCAGGCAGCACCCAGUCCCAUGUCAUCCAGCCAACGGUAAAUCUCGGCACAAACUAUUUGAUCCCUUUGCUCGAUUACCCAGGGUAUCUUGAAUCUUUCAACCUAACUAGCCUUGUCAGUACAGCCAUAAGAUACAGCUCAUUCAAGUUACUCAUUAUCAAUGCGGUGGACAGUCAAAACAGUGUCACUUUAGUCAAGCAAACAUCAACAUCAGGUAUUCAAAAUGAGACGUUCAGUAUGGAUUCCUACCAGCUGGUGCAGCUUCAGACCAACGGUUCUGUUUUGAGGGUCAAAUCAAGCAAAGAAAUCGCUGUGAUACUGACCCACCCAUGUGUAGAGACUCAGAGCUGUAACUGUAACUUGGUAAUAAAUCAGAUUAUUCCCACAAAGUUUCAGGGUCGGAGCUUUAUCGUACCUUCCAUCUUCAACAAUUCUGAGACCAAAUUACUUAUGCUGUCAGAAAACACGUCCUCGCUAUUUCACAAUGGUAACCAGCUACAGGCUUCUCCCUCAACGCUUCUGCCAUUUCCAGACCUGCAGAAAUCCCAGCUGGUAAAUGCAACAGAGCAAGUGUCCCUCAGGCUUUUCAGUCCGGGCGUCAUUGUGGAGUUGAUCCCAGAAACCAUGUUUUUUGCUUGCUUCCUGCUGCAAUUUUCUUCAACAAAUGGCAAGGCAUUGGUGAUCGCUGAAACAGACAGUAAAGAUGAUGUGCACACACAUAAUGGUUUGCUCUCAGCAUCUGACUGGACUGCAAUCGCUGGCACAAACUACUCUUCGGCUGUUGUAACUAUACCAGAUCAAAUUGCCACAAUCUGGCAUCCAACAUCGAGGAUUGGUGUUUAUAUGCUGGAACAUAUGUCUGCAAAAGUAAUGUUUGGAGGCCCGGCUAUACCAAUCAAUGAAAAACCAGAUCUUCAUGGCUGUAUGUUAGUUCCUGGAGCAUUUGCAAUUGGAAAGGACCCUCUAAGUUGGACGGAGUCUCGACAUGGCUGAUAACCUGACCAAGGAGGAUGGGGAUGGCUGGAUCGGUCUCCGCCGCAGUUUACUAACUACAGAUUGGUACUGGCAGGAGGAGUAUGAGCCCCCAAUCUCUGUCAAUUACAUUCACUGGGAUGACGGGCAUCCACUGAACGUUUUGAAGGGCUUAUGUACUUCAGUGUCACUUGACCCUAAAAAUGAUUUCAAAUGGCAAAGUGCACGCUGCUGUGAUAAAAAGAAGCCAGUCUGCUACAAAAGGCCAGCUUACCUCAUUCCUUCACAACAAUUGUUGGUACUUAACGUUUAGUGCUUGUUAGUCAUGCUAUUCUUUAGGUUCAAUAAGUUCAUACGGCAUAACCACCUGCAUAUCUGAGCUGUAUUUUUAAUGAUUGCAAUGUCUUUAUGUUAGAUUUAUUUUAUAUACAUGCUAAAAUUAUAUAAGGUUAAGGUCAUAUUAAGCAGUUGUGUUGAUAUUUGAAUUAAACUGUUUUUCAACUUAUCUUAGACAUUGACUCAAAUGGAAACAGGAAGUAGAUCUGGAAAUUAUGAAUGCCACAUCAACAAAAAAAAUGUAUAUCAUUAAUAAAAUGAACAAAAAUAUUAUAAUCAACGUAGAACUUUAAAGGGUUGUAUAUAACAAAAUAAAAUUGUAUAAAGCAUGACAUUAAGUGUCAAUCUUGAGAUAUAA